UUUAGUAAAUUAUACAAGAUACUCUCUAAAUUACUUAAAGGAGCUAGUAGCUAGCGUACACAUGUACUUCUCAUCAACACUCUAAAUUUGUAGUAUAUAUGUGAGUGUAAUUUUUCUGUUCUACAAAAUACAGAGAACAAAAAUAGUAGGACUUUCUUUGAGGAAAACACUACCAGUUAAUGCCAGUAUUGUUCGAGUUCUAAUUGUACCUAUACAUACCCACUAAACGCCCUCUUUCAUUGACCAGUUAGAACCAAUGUUACAGCUUCCUAAACCCAUCCAAAGGGCUAAAGAAAUAGUCAAAAUUAAUCAAAAAUCCUCCUAUUCAAUUUAAUACUCCAAGAUCAAUACAAUUCAUCUUAAAUCACCCCUUAGCAGCUAUCAUCUCCUGAUUCACCACUAGUCCAAAAUCCUCGGUAAAGCAAUCAUAAAAGCUAUAUUACUCACUAAAAUCACCAAUACUUGUCUUCUAAAGGUCCGAAUCCAAUUAAGUGUAAAUGCUUUCGAGAUUCUUUGCCUACUUAGGCUUAUUAAUUCACCAAGUUAUUGAAGUCUCUAAACUUGAAGUUGAGUUUAACUAUAAGUGAAAUAAUCUUCAGUAGUUUUAAUGUCAAGACUGUUGAUAUUUUUUAAAUGUGUUUCUUACUUAGCUUAUCAAUUCACCAUGCUGAAGAGAAAGUUGUGUAAGGAGGCAUGCUUUUUUCUUCUAACUUUGUUUUUUAUUUUAUAGUAUUACGUGAAAAUUUUAACCUUUUAGGAUGUCAUCGAAUAAAUAUGAGAAAUAGGAGUUGGUAUUUGUUCAAAUAGCAAAUAGAUCUCUUUACUCAAGUUGAUGAUGAAAUAGGG
This 846-nucleotide long non-coding RNA is filed under the name Carica papaya (papaya). RNAcentral's name for it is "long non-coding RNA (CPAP_LNC015055)". Lineage: Eukaryota; Viridiplantae; Streptophyta; Magnoliopsida; Brassicales; Caricaceae. The record is from RNAcentral.